GACGAACGCUGGCGGCGUGCUUAACACAUGCAAGUCGAACGGUGAAGGGACCAGCUUGCUGGUUCUGGAUGAGUGGCGAACGGGUGAGUAACACGUGAGUAACCUGCCCCCUUCUUCUGGAUAACCGCAUGAAAGUGUGGCUAAUACGGGAUAUUCUGGGUCUGUCGCAUGGCGGGCCCGGGAAAGAUAUUGCUUCGGUGGGGGAUGGGCUCGCGGCCUAUCAGCUUGUUGGUGGGGUGAUGGCCUACCAAGGCGGUGACGGGUAGCCGGCCUGAGAGGGUGGACGGUCACACUGGGACUGAGACACGGCCCAGACUCCUACGGGAGGCAGCGGUGGGGAAUAUUGCACAAUGGGCGCAAGCCUGAUGCAGCGACGCCGCGUGAGGGAUGGAGGCCUUCGGGUUGUAAACCUCUUUCGCCAGUGAAGCAGGCCUGCUCCUUGUGGGUGGGUUGACGGUAGCUGGAUAAGAAGCGCCGGCUAACUACGUG
Molecule: ribosomal RNA, 489 nt
Filed under: uncultured bacterium
Lineage: Bacteria
Description: partial 16S ribosomal RNA
Rfam family: Bacterial small subunit ribosomal RNA
Source: RNAcentral